GUAACAUGGAUUGCUUGCAAUCUGAUGACGAGUGGCGCACGGGUGCGUAACGCGUAUGCAAUCUACCUUUUACAGGAGAAUAGCCCAGAGAAAUUUGGAAUAAUGCUCCAUAAUAUCAUUUAUCAGCAUUGGUUUAUGAUUAAAGCUCCGGCGGUAAAAGAUGAGCAUGCGUUCUAUUAGCUAGUAGGUGAGGUAACGGCUCACCUAGGCUACGAUAGAUAGGGGCCCUGAGAGGGGGAUCCCCCACACUGGUACUGAGACAUGGACCAGACUCCUACGGGAGGCAGCAGUGAGGAAUAUUGGACAAUGGAGGAAACUCUGAUCCAGCCAUGCCGCGUGCAGGAUGACUGCCCUAUGGGUUGUAAACUGCUUUUAUAUAGGAAGAAACACUCCCACGUGUGGGGGCUUGACGGUACUAUAUGAAUAAGGAUCGGCUAACUCCGUGCCAGCAGCCGCGGUAAUACGGAGGAUCCAAGCGUUAUCCGGAAUCAUUGGGUUUAAAGGGUCCGCAGGCGGCCUGUUAAGUCAGAGGUGAAAUCCUACAGCUCAACUGUAGAACUGCCUUUGAUACUGAUAGGCUUGAGUUAUUGUGAAGUGGUUAGAAUGUGUGGUGUAGCGGUGAAAUGCUUAGAUAUCACACAGAAUACCCAUUGCGAAGGCAGAUCACUAACAAUAUACUGACGCUCAUGGACGAAAGCGUGGGGAGCGAACGGGAUUAGAUACCCCGGUAGUCCACGCCGUAAACGAUGGAUACCAACUGUUCGACCUUCGGGUUGAGUGGUCAAGCGAAAGUGAUAAGUAUCCCACCUGGGGAGUA
RNAcentral lists this ribosomal RNA (817 nucleotides) under uncultured marine bacterium. RNAcentral's name for it is "bacterial SSU rRNA". It matches the Rfam family "Bacterial small subunit ribosomal RNA", at positions 69 to 882 of the family's 1533-position model. The record is from RNAcentral.